Molecule: ribosomal RNA, 253 nt
Filed under: uncultured bacterium
Lineage: Bacteria
Description: partial 16S ribosomal RNA
Rfam family: Bacterial small subunit ribosomal RNA
Source: RNAcentral
UACAGAGGGUGCAAGCGUUGUUCGGAAUUAUUGGGCGUAAAGCGCGUGUAGGCGGCUAAGUAAGUCGGGCGUGAAAUCCCACGGCUCAACCGUGGAAGUGCACUCGAAACUGCGUAGCUAGAGUCCUGGAGAGGAAGGUGGAAUGCUUGGUGUAGAGGUGAAAUUCGUAGAUAUCAAGCGGAACACCGGUGGCGAAGGCGGCCUUCUGGACAGUGACUGACGCUGAGACGCGAAAGCGUGGGGAGCAAACAGG